This 989-nucleotide long non-coding RNA is filed under the name Marmota monax (woodchuck). Lineage: Eukaryota; Metazoa; Chordata; Mammalia; Rodentia; Sciuridae. The record is from RNAcentral.
UUCUGCCAGACGCGCAAGCACCGCACUCAGGGCUGAAUUCUGGGUUCGAGACGGGGAAGGAAGCGGUCCAUCUCGGUUCUCCACACCGGUCAGACCACAGAGGAGGCCAGCAGCCACCAUGUUGGUAAACUGACGUCACCACACCUGUUUUUGACUGACCGCAGCUCAUUCAGCCAUAGAACAGGUAAUUUCAGGCUGCAAUUCGCCUGCGGNGACAGAGAUGAGACCACUUACUUCAUAGUGGUGCUGUGAUACAUGUAUCCAUAUUUGUACCAUCUGUACUUAGCACUCUGAAAUAGUCAGUAUAAUUUUCCUCUUCAGUCCUGUGCCCUCUGUAAAGCUGCUAACAUGACCACCACCCUUAGAGAUUAGAGCCCCAAUCAAAUAUUAGAAUAAUGCAGACACACUGACAUAGUCCUGUAGCAGUUUUUGCUUUAAAUUCCAUUAAAAUGUCAAUAUUUCCCCCCAUUUUUGCUCUGUCAGCCCCUUAGAAGUAAUUUUCAAAAUUUUGAAAUGGUAAAACACAUGUUUUGGAGAAGUCUUUUCCAUAAUUAUUUAUCGACAGCCUGAUUUCUUUAAAUCUUGGAUGAACUUACUUUCAGAUUCUGCUCUGUGUGCCCAUAAAAAGUUGAGUCUGAUUAUUCUUUAGGGACUCAAUUGUUCUUUUAAUAGAUAAUUUAGAGUUUCAAUUUUAGAUAUGGUGGCAGACUUUUAUUUUUUAAGUAAAAUAUUUGAAUACUUUUUAAAAUUAAAAAUUUGAAUAAAAUAUUUGACUAUUGUUUUCGUUAAAUAUUCACUGCCUUUCCUAGGAGAGAGUUAUACUUCCCAGCUCUGUGACUCCAAGUUUGCUCUGACCCAUACAUGUGAAAGAAGUUUCUAAGAUUCAGCUUGUGGGGGCUGGGGUUGUAGCUCAGUGGUUGAGUACUCGCCUGGCAUUCAUGAGGCACUGGGUUCGAUCCUCAGCACCACAUAAAAAAAUAAAAUAAAAU